UUGUGCCAUAAAUGGGUGUUCUUUCUAGUUUUCAUUAUUUUUUUUAGUUUUUCAUUUAUUAUAUUUUUUUACAUGUAUUUAUAUUUGUAUUUGUAUUGUACUUCUGAAUGUAUUAUAUUUAGGGUUAAACUUCAAAAUACAUGACAUUUUGAGUUGAUUCAAUUUGUAUAAACCACUAUCAUUAUUAUUGAUAGAACACCAUUUUGUGUUUACAUAUUACACACAAACAAUUAUAC
This 236-nucleotide long non-coding RNA is filed under the name Gossypium raimondii (Peruvian cotton). RNAcentral describes it as "long non-coding RNA (GRAI_LNC009680)". Lineage: Eukaryota; Viridiplantae; Streptophyta; Magnoliopsida; Malvales; Malvaceae. The record is from RNAcentral.